Molecule: ribosomal RNA, 170 nt
Filed under: uncultured bacterium
Lineage: Bacteria
Description: partial 16S ribosomal RNA
Rfam family: Bacterial small subunit ribosomal RNA
Source: RNAcentral
CCUACGGGAGGCAGCAGUGGGGAAUAUUGGACAAUGGGCGCAAGCCUGAUGCAGCAAUGCCGCGUGAGUGAUGAAGGCCUUAGGGUUGUAAAGCUCUUUUACCCGGGAUGAUAAUGACAGUACCGGGAGAAUAAGCCCCGGCUAACUCCGUGCCAGCAGCCGCGGUAAUA